This 68-nucleotide transfer RNA is filed under the name Ictidomys tridecemlineatus (thirteen-lined ground squirrel). RNAcentral's name for it is "Spermophilus tridecemlineatus (thirteen-lined ground squirrel) tRNA". It matches the Rfam family "tRNA". From Rfam's summary of the family: Transfer RNA (tRNA) molecules are approximately 80 nucleotides in length. Their secondary structure includes four short double-helical elements and three loops (D, anti-codon, and T loops). The record is from Rfam by way of RNAcentral. Lineage: Eukaryota; Metazoa; Chordata; Mammalia; Rodentia; Sciuridae.
GGGGUUGUGGCUCAGUGGUAGAGCGCUUGCCUACCAGGUAUGAGGCCUGUGUUCAAUUCUCAGCACCG